This 340-nucleotide unclassified non-coding RNA is filed under the name soil metagenome. RNAcentral describes it as "partial contains 5.8S ribosomal RNA, internal transcribed spacer 2, and large subunit ribosomal RNA". The stretch from base 1 to 120 matches the Rfam family "5.8S ribosomal RNA", at positions 35 to 154 of the family's 154-position model. The record is from RNAcentral.
GAUGAAGAACGUAGCGAAAUGCGAUAAGUAAUGUGAAUUGCAGAGUUCAGUGAAUCAUCGAAUCUUUGAAUGCACAUUGCGCCCGUCAGUAUUCUGACGAGCAUGCCUGUCCGAGCGUCAUUUCAACCCUCAAGCACUGCUUGGCGUUGGCGGAUUGCGUGCCCUCGCGGCGCUGCAACCGCCCAAAUACAGUGGCGGUCCCGCUGCGGCUCCCUUUGCGUAGUAACUCACCUCGCACUGGACCGGGCGGCGGCCUGCCGUAAAACCCCAACUCACGAAAUGUUGACCUCGGAUCAGGUAGGAAUACCCGCUGAACUUAAGCAUAUCAAUAAGCGGAGGA